This 484-nucleotide ribosomal RNA is filed under the name uncultured bacterium. RNAcentral describes it as "partial 16S ribosomal RNA". It matches the Rfam family "Bacterial small subunit ribosomal RNA", at positions 30 to 507 of the family's 1533-position model. The record is from RNAcentral.
AUUGAACGCUGGCGGCAGGCCUAACACAUGCAAGUCGAGCGGAUGAAGGGAGCUUGCUCCUGGAUUCAGCGGCGGACGGGUGAGUAAUGCCUAGGAAUCUGCCUGGUAGUGGGGGAUAACGUCCGGAAACGGGCGCUAAUACCGCAUACGUCCUGAGGGAGAAAGUGGGGGAUCUUCGGACCUCACGCUAUCAGAUGAGCCUAGGUCGGAUUAGCUAGUUGGUGGGGUAAAGGCCUACCAAGGCGACGAUCCGUAACUGGUCUGAGAGGAUGAUCAGUCACACUGGAACGGAGACACGGUCCAGACUCCUACGGGAGGCAGCAGGGGGGAAUAUUGGACAAUGGGCGAAAGCCUGAUCCAGCCAUGCCGCGUGUGUGAAGAAGGUCUUCGGAUUGUAAAGCACUUUAAGUUGGGAGGAAGGGCAGUAAGUUAAUACCUUGCUGUUUUGACGUUACCAACAGAAUAAGCACCGGCUAACUUCGUG